Molecule: ribosomal RNA, 906 nt
Filed under: uncultured bacterium
Lineage: Bacteria
Description: bacterial SSU rRNA
Rfam family: Bacterial small subunit ribosomal RNA
Source: RNAcentral
GUAUACAAUCUGCCUCUUACUGAGGGAUAGCCCAGAGAAAUUUGGAUUAAUACCUCAUGGUAUGUAGAAGUGGCAUCACUUUCACAUUAAAGGUUACGGUAAGAGAUGAGUAUGCGUCCUAUUAGCUAGUAGGUAUGGUAACGGCAUACCUAGGCGACGAUAGGUAGGGGCCCUGAGAGGGGGAUCCCCCACACUGGUACUGAGACACGGACCAGACUCCUACGGGAGGCAGCAGUGAGGAAUAUUGGGCAAUGGAGGCAAUUCUGACCCAGCCAUGCCGCGUGCAGGAAGACUGCCCUAUGGGUUGUAAACUGCUUUUAUACGGGAAGAAACAGUCCUACGUGUAGGACCUUGACGGUACCGUAAGAAUAAGCAUCGGCUAACUCCGUGCCAGCAGCCGCGGUAAUACGGAGGAUGCAAGCGUUAUCCGGAAUCAUUGGGUUUAAAGGGUCCGUAGUGGAUUAAUAAGUCAGAGGUGAAAUCCUGCAGCUCAACUGUAGAACUGCCUUUGAUACUGUUAAUCUUGAGUCAUUAUGAAGUAGUUAGAAUGUGUAGUGUAGCGGUGAAAUGCAUAGAUAUUACACAGAAUACCGAUUGCGAAGCAGAUUACUAAUAAUGUACUGACACUGAGGGACGAAAGCGUGGGGAGCGAACAGGAUUAGAUACCCUGGUAGUCCACGCCGUAAACGAUGGUCACUAGCUGUUUGGACUUCGGUCUGAGUGGCUAAGCGAAAGUGAUAAGUGACCCACCUGGGGAGUACGUUCGCAAGAAUGAAACUCAAAGGAAUUGACGGGGGCCGCACAAGCGUGGAGCAUGUGGUUUAAUUCGAUGAUACGCGAGGAACCUUACCAGGGUUUAAAUGUAAGUUGCAUAAGCUAGAGAUAGCUUUUUCUUCGGACUACUUA